ACAUGCAAGUCGAACGAUAAGGUCUCUUCGGAGAUACAUAAGUGGCGGACGGGUGAGUAACACGUAGGUUACCUGCCUUGAGGCGGGGGACAACACUGGGAAACCGGUGCUAAUACCCCAUAUGUCCUUCGGGAUGAAAGCUCUGGCGCCUUGAGAUGGGCCUGCGGCUGAUUAGCUAGUUGGUGGGGUAAAUGCCUACCAAUGCGACGAUCAGUAGCUGGUUUGAGAGGAUGAUCAGCCACAAUGGAACUGAGACACGGUCCAUACUCCUACGGGAGGCAGCAGUAGGGAAUUUCGCGCAAUGGGCGAAAGCCUGACGCAGCAACACCGCGUGAGUGAUGAAGCUUUUCGGAGUGUACAACUCUGUCAGUGGGGACGACAAAUGACGGUACCCACAAAGGAAGCACCGGCUAACUCCGUGCCAGCAGCCGCGGUAAGACGGAGGGUGCAAGCGUUGUCCGGAAUUAUUGGGCGUAAAGCGUUCGUAGGCGGCAUGUCAAGUCUGCUGUUAAAGCCCGGAGCUCAACUCCGGUUCGGCAUUGGCUACUGGCAAGCUCGAGUACAGAAGAGGCAAGGGGAAUUCCUAGUGUACCGGUGACAUGCGUAGA
RNAcentral lists this ribosomal RNA (608 nucleotides) under uncultured organism. RNAcentral describes it as "bacterial SSU rRNA". It matches the Rfam family "Bacterial small subunit ribosomal RNA", at positions 53 to 694 of the family's 1533-position model. The record is from RNAcentral.